Molecule: ribosomal RNA, 496 nt
Filed under: uncultured bacterium
Lineage: Bacteria
Description: partial 16S ribosomal RNA
Rfam family: Bacterial small subunit ribosomal RNA
Source: RNAcentral
ACGAACGCUGGCGGCGUGCCUAAUCCCUGCAAGUAGCACGCUGAAGAGAGGAGCUUGCUCUUCUUGGAUGAGUUGCGAACGGGUGAGUAACGCGUAGGUAACCUGCCUGGUAGCGGGGGAUAACUAUUGGAAACGAUAGCUAAUACCGCAUAAAAUGGAUUAUCGCAUGAUAAUCCAUUGAAAGGUGCAAAUGCAUCACUACCAGAUGGACCUGCGUUGUAUUAGCUAGUUGGUGGGGUAACGGCUCACCAAGGCGACGAUACAUAGCCGACCUGAGAGGGUGAUCGGCCACACUGGGACUGAGACACGGCCCAGACUCCUACGGGAGGCAGCAGUAGGGAAUCUUCGGCAAUGGACGGAAGUCUGACCGAGCAACGCCGCGUGAGUGAAGAAGGUUUUCGGAUCGUAAAGCUCUGUUGUAAGAGAAGAACGAGUGUGAGAGUGGAAAGUUCACACUGUGACGGUAUCUUACCAGAAAGGGACGGCUAACUACGUG